Molecule: transfer RNA, 76 nt
Filed under: Paracoccus denitrificans
Lineage: Bacteria; Pseudomonadati; Pseudomonadota; Alphaproteobacteria; Rhodobacterales; Paracoccaceae
Also listed under: 79 other names
Description: tRNA_Ala_TGC
Rfam family: tRNA
About the family: Transfer RNA (tRNA) molecules are approximately 80 nucleotides in length.
Source: RNAcentral
GGGGCCUUAGCUCAGUUGGUAGAGCGCCUGCUUUGCAAGCAGGAUGUCAUCGGUUCGAAUCCGUUAGGCUCCACCA